This 387-nucleotide ribosomal RNA is filed under the name uncultured Chroococcales cyanobacterium. RNAcentral describes it as "bacterial SSU rRNA". It matches the Rfam family "Bacterial small subunit ribosomal RNA", at positions 356 to 757 of the family's 1533-position model. The record is from RNAcentral. Lineage: Bacteria; Bacillati; Cyanobacteriota; Cyanophyceae; Chroococcales.
GGGGAAUCUUCCGCAAUGGGCGAAAGCCUGACGGAGCAACGCCGCGUGAGGGAUGAAGGCCUCUGGGCUGUAAACCUCUUUUCUCAAGGAAGAAGAUCUGACGGUACUUGAGGAAUAAGCCACGGCUAAUUCCGUGCCAGCAGCCGCGGUAAUACGGGAGAGGCAAGCGUUAUCCGGAAUUAUUGGGCGUAAAGCGUCCGCAGGCGGCCUUGUAAGUCUGUCGUCAAAGCGUGGAGCUUAACUCCAUUUAGGCGAUGGAAACUGCAAGAGCUAGAGUGUGGUAGGGGCAGAGGGAAUUCCCGGUGUAGCGGUGAAAUGCGUAGAUAUCGGGAAGAACACCAGUGGCGAAGGCGCUCUGCUGGGCCAUAACUGACGCUCAUGGACGAA